Molecule: ribosomal RNA, 493 nt
Filed under: uncultured bacterium
Lineage: Bacteria
Description: bacterial SSU rRNA
Rfam family: Bacterial small subunit ribosomal RNA
Source: RNAcentral
AUUGAACGCUGGCGGCAUGCCUUACACAUGCAAGUCGAACGGUAACAGGUCUUCGGAUGCUGACGAGUGGCGAACGGGUGAGUAAUACAUCGGAACGUGCCCGAUCGUGGGGGAUAACGGAGCGAAAGCUUUGCUAAUACCGCAUACGAUCUACGGAUGAAAGCAGGGGACCGCAAGGCCUUGCGCGGACGGAGCGGCCGAUGGCAGAUUAGGUAGUUGGUGGGAUAAAAGCUUACCAAGCCGACGAUCUGUAGCUGGUCUGAGAGGACGACCAGCCACACUGGGACUGAGACACGGCCCAGACUCCUACGGGAGGCAGCAGUGGGGAAUUUUGGACAAUGGGCGAAAGCCUGAUCCAGCCAUGCCGCGUGCAGGAUGAAGGCCUUCGGGUUGUAAACUGCUUUGUACGGAACGAAAGACUCUGGUUAAUACCUGGGUCCAUGACGGUACCGUAAGAAUAAGCACCGGCUAACUACGUGCCAGCAGCCGCGGU